Molecule: ribosomal RNA, 114 nt
Filed under: Paramormyrops kingsleyae
Lineage: Eukaryota; Metazoa; Chordata; Actinopteri; Osteoglossiformes; Mormyridae
Source: RNAcentral
AACAGCAGAUUAACUACCUGCUGUUCAUGCCAGGUAAUUCACCUGAAGUUAAGCAGGUUUGGGCCUGGCUGGUGCUUGGAUGGGGCACCAACUAGGAAAGCUGGGCUGCUGCUG